Molecule: long non-coding RNA, 3105 nt
Filed under: Daucus carota (carrot)
Lineage: Eukaryota; Viridiplantae; Streptophyta; Magnoliopsida; Apiales; Apiaceae
Description: long non-coding RNA (DCAR_LNC005586)
Source: RNAcentral
GUGAAUUAAGUAUCUCUAUCUGGGUGCAAAUUAAGCAUCAGAAAAGAAAGUGUCAUCUUUGGUGUGUUUACUUUCCCUUUACGCAAUGAGCUUUUCUUCCAGGUUGGAGAGAAUGAUUCCGUGAUAAUUGUGACACAUGAACCUGGUUGGCUUCUUGAUUGGUACUGGGAUGAUGUGAGCGGGAAAAAUGUUUCACACCUGAUAUGUGACUAUUUGAAGGGUAGGUGUAAACUCCGGAUGGCUGGAGACUUGCAUCAUUUUAUGCGACACUCAUAUGUUCCAUCUGAUAAACCAGCUCAUGUGCAACAUUUACUUGUCAAUGGUUCUGGUGGAGCUUUUUUGCAUCCUACUCAUGUAUUCAGUAGUUUCAAUAAAUUAUAUGGAACUUCGUAUAAGUUUGAAGCAGCCUAUCCUUCUUGUGAAGAUUCAAGUAGGGUAUGUUACUAAAUUUUACUGCCGGAUACUUUCUUAAUUUCUAUUUCUAAUGUAAUCAAGUGAUGUUUAAGGGGCUUAUAUAUUAUUUGUUGCAGAUUGCACUGGGAAACAUAUUGAAAUUCCGAAAGAAAAAUUGGCAGUUUGAUUUCAUUGGUGGUAUCAUAUACUUUGUCUUAGCGUUUUCUAUGUUCCCACAGGCGAGUUACUUAACUUUGUUACAACAAAUAUUUUGAUCUUGCUUCAGACAAUUAGGAUGUUCUUUAUGCUUGCAAACUUUACAUGAAAUUUCACAUCGUUUAUUUCCUCGAAAUAAAGGACACCAUUUUCAAAGUUAUAGUCUUUUCAAGAUUAGCUUUUUCGUUUUCUCUUUUUUUUCCCUGAUGACAUUCUAUAUACUCCUUUUAGUGCAAGCUGGACCAUCUCUUCAAGGAUGAUACAUUUUCUGGUCAUCUCAAGAGCUUCUUUAGUACUGUGUGGGAUGCUUUUAUGUACAUGCUUGGACAGUCUUAUGUAUCUUUAGCUGGUACCUUGUUAUUGUUAGCAGCUGCUAUCGCAUUUGUACCUUCUAAAGUUUCUCGAAAAAGAAGGGCAAUAGUUGGAUUUCUUCAUGUUUCUGCACACUUGGCUGCAGCAAUAAUUCUCAUGAUGCUUUUAGAAGUUGGUGUUGAAACAUGUAUCAGGCAUAAACUAUUGGGAACAUCAGGUGCGCUUUAGUUUUAACUGAUUUCUUUUGAGUCAGAAAUCUUGUUUUCAUUAUCUACAACAUUAUUAUUUGAGCUUGUAUAUCUGCUGAAAUCAUGCUUCUUUACUGCAGCCAGGUUCUUGCUCUUCCAUGUCUUUUGUUGAAAUAUGGAUGUUAGCAUUGUGCAUUAAUAUUAUACAUAGUGAAGUCUUCUUCAUUCGUUUUUUUGUGCACAUGAAAUUAUAUUAUUAUUAAAGAUGAUAAUUUGAAUAAGGGAGGCCAUGACUAUGCCGCUAGGUUCAUAUUUUCUUUUCAUUCUUUUUGUUAUCUACUAUGGUUCUUAGUUUUGCCAUUCUUGGUUUUGUAUUACUUGUUUCACAGUCAUAUUCAUAAAAAUCCCAUGUUAGGAGGCCGUGGUUAUGUUUUUUUAUAAAUCGUCCUGAAUAUCUUUGUAAAGGGAAGUUAAUUGGUAAUUGGAUCUAGUUAUCUAGUCUCUGUGUUGGCAUAUACUUGUUUGAAUUUGUUCAAAACCAUGUCUAGUUUUUAUUUUGUUCGUAGACAUGUACUAAUAGUUAUGAUCUCAUUUCAGGUUAUCACACUUUAUAUGAAUGGUAUCGCACAGUUGAGAGUGAGCAUUUUCCAGACCCAACUGGCCUCCGUGCUCGUAUAGAACAGUGGACAUUUGGGCUGUAUCCAGCAUGUAUCAAGUAUCUUAUGUCUGCCUUUGAUGUUCCAGAGGUCCAAACUUCAUUUUAUAACUAUCUAUAUAAGGAUAUAUAUCCAGAAUUCUCAUUGUGUACUUGUUAUCUCUUGAAUCUACUAAAUUUGUGAGCACAAAUAGGUCAUGGCUGUCACAAGGAAUGAUAUGUGUAACAAUGGAUCCGAUUCAUUUUCCCGCGGUGGUGCUGUGAUAUAUUAUGCUUCCGUGUUCCUGUACUUUUGGUUCUUUACCACUCCUGUGGUUUCGUUGAUUUUUGGAAGCUAUUUGUACAUCUGUAUUAAUUGGUUGCAUCUGCACUUUGAUGAAGCCUUCUCUUCACUCCGUAUAGCCAAUUACAAAGCAUUUACACGCUUCCAUAUUAAGAAUAACGGCGAUCUUGAGGUUUUUACGCUUGCAGUUGACAAGGUAAAAAAAGCUCGCAUUAUAGUGCCUAUUUGUUUUUGAAGNAUGAAGCAUAAUGGGUCCUCUUUGAUUAUACAGAUUGGUUCGACGGACUUCAAACCUAUAUGAGGUACAUUUGUCAUAAAAGCUGGUUGGGCGGGUGGUUCAUGCCUCAGAAGAAGAGCUACUUUGCUAUGCAGCUACCGCAGAGAUGGUGGAUAUUUGGUCUUGAUUUAGCUCUGCACGGUGAUAUUGAUGUUUAUCAGUUCAAGUUCUUCUCUGAAUUGGUUAUGGACAAGGUUCCUCUCCUAAUGUUUUUGUUUAACAAAUGUUAUAUACUAUUCUUGUUUUUAAACAUUUUCCUUACAUGAUGCAAUACCUUUUUUAUUUCAUAUGCAUUAUGUUUAGUUUAAUAUUAUCGAGUUCGUGAAUUAAGUAUCUCUAUCUGGGUGCAAAUUAAGCAUCAGAAAAGAAAGUGUCAUCUUUGGUGUGUUUACUUUCCCUUUACGCAAUGAGCUUUUCUUCCAGGUUGGAGAGAAUGAUUCCGUGAUAAUUGUGACACAUGAACCUGGUUGGCUUCUUGAUUGGUACUGGGAUGAUGUGAGCGGGAAAAAUGUUUCACACCUGAUAUGUGACUAUUUGAAGGGUAGGUGUAAACUCCGGAUGGCUGGAGACUUGCAUCAUUUUAUGCGACACUCAUAUGUUCCAUCUGAUAAACCAGCUCAUGUGCAACAUUUACUUGUCAAUGGUUCUGGUGGAGCUUUUUUGCAUCCUACUCAUGUAUUCAGUAGUUUCAAUAAAUUAUAUGGAACUUCGUAUAAGUUUGAAGCAGCCUAUCCUUCUUGUGAAGAUUCAAGUAGGGUAUGUUACUAAAUUUUACUGCCGG